RNA transcript from Artibeus jamaicensis (Jamaican fruit-eating bat), 5424 nucleotides. It is a transcript of the gene named solute carrier family 38 member 8, with no coding region annotated. The record is from RefSeq and is a predicted model, not a curated record. Lineage: Eukaryota; Metazoa; Chordata; Mammalia; Chiroptera; Phyllostomidae. The transcript has 12 exons.
UCUCAGAAGCUACAAGCUCUUGGGACAGGUGGCCCCGAUUUCAUGUCCCUGUCUCUCUAACUUCUGGAACAUGACCCAAACACAUGCUCUUUAGGGCUUCCUCAGUCCAUGACUCAUUAGCCACCCUAGCAGUGCUAGAACCUUCCAUCUUCCACCCCUUCAGGUCCAAGAAAUGCAGCUGAACCACCUGGCGUGAGCCUGAGCCCCUGUCCAUCUGUGGUGGCCAAGGACGGUCUCUCACCUUGGAGUUUGCCUUUGGUGACAUGGAGGGACUGACCCCUGCAAGCAGAGACCUUUUGGCAAAGCCGGCAACUGCCAGCCCCAGUCUGUCCUCACUGGGUGCUGUCUUCAUCCUCCUGAAAUCGGCACUGGGGGCUGGCCUGCUCAACUUCCCCUGGGCCUUCCACAAGGCCGGCGGCGUGACCCCCGCCUUCCUGGUGGAGCUGGUGUCCUUGGCCUUCCUGAUCAGUGGGCUGGUCAUCCUGGGCUAUGCCGCCUCCAUCAGUGGCCAGGCCACCUACCAGGGCGUGGUUGGAGAGCUGUGUGGGCCAGCCAUCGGGAAGCUGUGUGAGGUCUGCUUCAUCGUCAACCUGCUCAUGAUCUCCGUGGCCUUCCUCAGGGUGAUCGGGGACCAGCUGGACAAGCUGUGUGACGUCCUCCUGCCCGGUGCUCCGCCGGCCCUGCCGCCCUGGUACGUGGACCAGCGCUUCACCUUGACCCUGCUGUCCAUGCUGGUCAUCCUGCCCCUGUCUACCCCGAAGGAGAUUGGGUUCCAGAAAUUCACGAGCUUCCUAGGCACCCUGGCUGCCUGCUACCUGGCCCUGGUCAUCGUGGCGCAGUACUACCUUGGGGCCCAGCCCCUGGUGCGGGAGCCCCGCCCUGCCCUGAGUCCUUCCUCCUGGGCCUCCGUGUUCAGUGUCUUCCCCACCAUCUGCUUUGGAUUUCAGUGUCAUGAAGCGGCUGUCUCCAUCUACUGCAGCAUGGGCAACCAGAGCCUGUCCCACUGGGCCCUGGUCUCUGUGCUGUCCCUGCUGGCCUGCUGCCUUGUGUACUCACUGACAGGUGUUUAUGGCUUUCUGACCUUUGGGACAGAAGUUUCCGCUGACAUCUUGAUGUCCUACCCAGGGGACGACGGACUCAUCAUCGUUGCCCGAGUCCUCUUUGCCGUCUCUAUAGUGACCGUCUACCCCAUUGUGCUCUUCCUGGGGAGGUCGGUGAUGCAGGAUUUCUGGAGGAGGAGCUGUUGCCAGGUGUUUGGGCUGCGGGCCCUGGCCGACCCCUCAGGGCUAGGGGUCCGGAUGCUGCUGACCGUCCUGUGGGUCACCGUGACACUUGCCAUGGCCCUGUUCCUGCCAGACCUCAGCGAGAUCAUCGGCAUCAUCGGUGGCAUCAGUUCCUUCUUCAUCUUCAUCUUCCCAGGUCUGUGCCUCAUCUGUGCCGUCAGCACCGAGCCAAUAGGACCAUGGGCCAGGUGCUGCUUGGAGGUCUGGGGAGUGGUGUCCGUGCUGGUCGGCACCUUCAUCUUCGGGCAGAGCACAGUGGCAGCCGUCCUGGAGCUCUUGUGAGGGGCGGCCGUGCCUGCGCAGCAGGGGCCGCCACAGGCCGCCCAGCUGCGACACCAGUGUAAUUCCAUCAUAAAGAUGCUGGAGAAACCAACCCCUUCGCCUUCCUAGGCUGCUCAUUGGGGCUUCUGCUGAUGCAAAGGGUUUCUGGUGCAAUGGCGAGGAGAAUGCUAACAAAUGAGCACAGAAUGGUGGCUUGAGACAGCAGAAUUUAGUCUCUCAGAGUCCUGGGGCUAGGAGUCAGAGGUCCAGGUGUCAGCCGGCCGCCUCUUCCCACUCUCGGGGUUGCUGGCACUGUGCAGCGUGCCUCGGCUUGUAGGCACGUCUCUCUGGUCUCUGCUUUUACCUUGCAUGGCCUUCCUCCCUCUGUGUCUGUGACCACUGCCCCCUCUUCUUAUAAGGACACUGUGGUUGGAUUCAGGCCCAGCCUAAUUCCCUAUGACUUCGCCUUAUGUUUCUUAAUGAGGGUCUGCAAAGAUCCUGUUUUCAAAUAAGGUCACACUCAGGUUCUAGGGGGUAGGACUUAAUAUUUCUGGGGCACCCACUACAACUACAGGGGCUGAGGCCGAGAGAGCCCUGCUUUGGGGCGCCGGGAUCAGAGACAUGGGGUGAGGGUAGUGUGCAGUGGAGGACAGGGACUUCAGGUAGCGUCCACGGGGGGUGGAGGGGGACGGGGAAUGCAGCAAUCCUGCCCAUGACUGCGAGGUGCCCAAGGAGAUAGAUGCCCAGAUCUGGCCACACACACUAGCCCCUGGCCCAUGCUCCAGUGGGGGCACCCUGCAGACAGCCCCCUUUCCCUCCACUGGCUGGAGGCAAAGAGUCUGGAAGCCUAGUGGACCGGUUUUGCUGCCGCCCCCCAAACAAUGUUGCAGUGAGGGGUCAGACUUGCAGUGCAGAUGAGAGCACCAAGGUCCAUCCCUGGGGCCGGGCAGGGGAAAGGAUGGGGGUAGGGGGCGUGGUGUGGAGGUGGGCGGGGUCCCCCGCUCCCCCGUGUUGCUGUGCUUGUCGGCACGGACCCUGCGUGGGCCCAGGGAUGCCCUGGGUGUCACUGGAUUCAGGCCACUCUUGCUGCCUCGGGACAGCUGGCGUUCCAGGAUGCCUCCCUGAAGGUGGGUUCUGUGUGUUAUGUUGUGUGACAUGCAUGUGACUGUGAGGAUGGUGGUGAUAGAGCCGUUUUCUGUUCCCAGCUUGUCCAUGUGCAUUAUUUAUUUUUUUAGCUAUAAUUCACAUACCAAAGAAAUCGCCCUUUUAAAGUAUGUAGUUCAGUGGGUGUUAGUCGAUGCACAGAGUUGCGGAGCCGUCCCCAGUGCCUGAUUUCAGCCUCUCACGCCCAAGCAGCCCUGCACCCGUUCGCAGUCACUGCCCACCCCUCGCCCAGCCCCCGCCAACCACAGAGCUGCUUCUGUCUCCACGGGCUUGCCUCUUCCAGACAUCUCCUAUACAGGGACACAUACACCACAUGGCCUUUUGUUUGGCUUCUUUGCAUUAGCAUGUUUUCAAACUUGUCCGUUUUACAGGCAAGUCGACUGAGACUUGGGAAAAUCAAGGCCGCCUGUCCUGAGAGGUACAGAGUUAGAGAUGGGACUGAUUUGGGGUUGAAUUUCUUCCUCCGCUUCCUUUCCACUUCACACUCCACUCCUCCAGUGGCCAAGGGGGUGGGAACUGCUGUGCCUGAGCCCCAGGGCAAGGAUGGACCCCCGCCCUCCUCCACCCUGGCUGCUGGUGGAGGUGGGACGCUGUGGUCGCAGGCAUAGACUCUGACCAGUGAGGGGGACAUGGGACCCUGUGCCCUGGCCCACCCUGUGUUCAGCGUCCACGGUGUCCUCCCAGAGGAGGAUAUGCAUCGGGGCAGAAUUGCUUUACUGGAGCGCUUAUCACCCCAGUGCCGGCAGUGAGAAUGGGCAGUCAUUUACUAGUUGUACCCUGGGUGCUUCCCAAAGGUGCCCUGGCGCUGGCUGUGAAGGCCGGGACUGUGCGAGGGCCAUUCACAGGGCGCCAGAGAUAAGAACGAAGCAUGACGGGGAAGGGUUGUGCCAAAGAGGCAGGCAGUGUGCAAACUGGCUUUGGAGUUAAGACUACUGGCAUGAAAUGCUGGCUCUACCAUUUGCUAUGUGAAGAUUUGAGAAGUUUGCAAAUUUCUUCCAAGAAUCUGUUUUUCCACCAGCAAACUGGAGCAGGGUUAUUGCGUAUGAUGCAAUUUGGGAUCCGUGUGAGAAUUAAAGGUGGUAAUGUAUCUACAGCUACUAGCAGGGGAGCCAAACAAUAAAUCUAUUUCUAGAAAACCUAGGUUGACAUUAGCAAGUAAACGCUGAGCUUCCUGGCAGCCAAGGAAAGCAGGGUCCUAUGCGGACACUAAUUCUCACCCAAAAUUAGCCACACUGGGAAGGAAGUAGGAUGCACCAAAUGCUAAAAAGAGGUGAGGUGGUGCUGUUUAGGAGGUGACAAAUAUCACCACUGGGGACAUUUUCCAUCUCCUUAUGUGACAGGUACAGAUGUGAUCCUCAUAGGACUGAGCCUCAAAUCGACCAUCAUAAUGCAAAACAUAAUGCAGCCAAAGCAAUGCCGGCUGGGGUGUUGCCGCACAUGUCUGAUCUACUAAAAAGAGGUCUGUGCUCCACAAAAUGAAGGUCUGAAGUGCAUCCUUGGACUUCAAGCACAGGCUCUGGGUCUGGAAGGUCGGAGCGGCUCUGCCUGCCACUUACCAGCUGUGUGACCGUAGCCAGACCUGUCCCCCUCUGAACAGCCCCUGUCCUCAGGAAGUCAGGGCCUUUCUUAGCCUGGGCACCCUUCCUCAGUCCUAGCUGAGUGUCCACCCUCUUCCUUCUUCUUCUGGGACCUUGGCUCAGGUCCUCUCCAUUCUCCCGCACUGAGGACAGCCCCUCCCUCCCGGGGUAGCCAAGAGGAUGAGCUGAGAUGUACCUGCGAAGCCCGUGGCACAGAGCCCGGCCUGGAACCAGUUCCUGGUCAAUGGCCACACUGGUGCUUGAAUGGAGGGACCUACACGUCUCAUUUAAUGAAUGUGAACAUGGUCAAGUGACAUCUUAAAUGACUUGUGCUGCUCUGAGCAGCAUGGGCUGCAGGGGGUUCCCAGUUUCCUGAAGAAGCCCCUUUCCACUGGCUCAGGGGCCCCCAAGUAACUGUGCAGGGACACCAGCCUAGGGGGCUGCCGGCCCCGAGCGCCUAGAGUUGCCCACCUCCCAAGGAAGGUUUGGGCUUUGACCUGGACGUGGCAGAGGUGUGGACCAGCCACUGCGUGCAGGUGAGCUGAUUGAGACUUUUGUUGUUGUUAAUUGAGAUAAAAUUCAUGUAACACCGGUGUACUGUUUGGUGGCAUUUAGCAUAUUCACAGUGUUGUGUGACCCCCACCUCCAUCUGGUCCCAAAGCAUUCUCAUUGUCCCCAAGAACCCGCACACCCAUCAGCAGUCGCUCCCUCCUUCCUCUUCCACCAGCCCCUGGUGACCAGGAAUCUCUGUCUCUGUCAGUUGAUCUAUUCUGAACACUUUGUAUGCAUGGGAUCCUACACACGUAGUCCAUUGUGUCUGGCUUCUUUCACUUAGAACAAUGUUCCCAAGGCUCACCCAUGUUGUUGCGUGUCAAAGCUCCAUUCCUUUGCAUGGCCGAGUCACAUUCCAAUGUCUGGAUAGAGCACAUUGUAUUUGUCCAUCAGCUGAUGGACAUCCGGCUUGUUCCUGUCUUUGGCUGUUGGGAAUAGUGCUGCUAUGAACGUCUGCAUUUGCUUCAAUGCGUCUUUUCAAUUCUUUUAGGCUCAGCACACACAGAUGUACCCAGGAGUGGACUUGCCGAGUCAUGAGGACCCCCCUCUGCACACCUGGCACCGACGUGGAGCACUCCCUUGUGGGC